Molecule: ribosomal RNA, 460 nt
Filed under: uncultured bacterium
Lineage: Bacteria
Description: partial 16S ribosomal RNA
Rfam family: Bacterial small subunit ribosomal RNA
Source: RNAcentral
CCUACGGGUGGCAGCAGUGAGGAAUAUUGGUCAAUGGACGAGAGUCUGAACCAGCCAAGCCGCGUGAAGGAUGACUGCCCUAUGGGUUGUAAACUUCUUUUAUAUGGGAAUAAAAUGUUCUACGUGUGUGAGUUUGUAUGUACCAUAUGAAUAAGGAUCGGCUAACUCCGUGCCAGCAGCCGCGGUAAUACGGAGGAUCCGAGCGUUCUCCGGAUUUAUUGGGUUUAAAGGGAGCGUAGGUGGAUUGUUAAGUCAGUUGUGAAAGUUUGGGGCUCAACCGUAAAAUUGCAGUUGAAACUGGCAGUCUUGAGUACAGUAGAGGUGGGCGGAAUGCGUGGUGUAGCGGUGAAAUGCUUAGAUAUCACGAAGAACACCGAUUGCGAAGGCAGCUUACUAAACUGCAACUGACGUUGAGGCUCGAAAGUGUGGGUAUCAAACAGGAUUAGAUACCCUAGUAGUC